GAUGAACGCUGGCGGCGUGCCUAAUACAUGCAAGUCGAGCGAACGGACGAGAAGCUUGCUUCUCUGAUGUUAGCGGCGGACGGGUGAGUAACACGUGGAUAACCUACCUAUAAGACUGGGAUAACUUCGGGAAACCGGAGCUAAUACCGGAUAAUAUUAUGAACCGCAUGGUUCAAAAGUGAAAGACGGUCUUGCUGUCACUUAUAGAUGGAUCCGCGCUGCAUUAGCUAGUUGGUAAGGUAACGGCUUACCAAGGCAACGAUGCAUAGCCGACCUGAGAGGGUGAUCGGCCACACUGGAACUGAGACACGGUCCAGACUCCUACGGGAGGCAGCAGUAGGGAAUCUUCCGCAAUGGGCGAAAGCCUGACGGAGCAACGCCGCGUGAGUGAUGAAGGUCUUCGGAUCGUAAAACUCUGUUAUUAGGGAAGAACAUAUGUGUAAGUAACUGUGCACAUCUUGACGGUACCUAAUCAGAAAGCAACGGCUAACUACAUG
RNAcentral lists this ribosomal RNA (497 nucleotides) under uncultured bacterium. RNAcentral's name for it is "partial 16S ribosomal RNA". It matches the Rfam family "Bacterial small subunit ribosomal RNA", at positions 28 to 507 of the family's 1533-position model. The record is from RNAcentral.